UCUCCGUUGGUGAACCAGCGGAGGGAUCAUUACAGAGUUUUCAGAACUCUCAACCCUUGCGAACCGUACCCAUUCUGUUGUCGUUGCUUCCGGCGGGGGGGACGGGGGGGCCCGAAACGGCCUCCCCGCCCCGCCCGCCGGGGGCGGCGUGCCCUAGCAACCCUUAUAUCUCAACCACCAGUAACUGUCUGAGAAAGCAAACAAAAUAAUCAAAACUUUCAACAACGGAUCUCUUGGCUCUG
This 242-nucleotide unclassified non-coding RNA is filed under the name plant metagenome. Its description in RNAcentral is "partial contains small subunit ribosomal RNA, internal transcribed spacer 1, and 5.8S ribosomal RNA". The record is from RNAcentral.